UCAUCCGUCGCCCACCGGACCUGCAGCAGGGUUGGAAAGGAGGCAGCCCUUCAGGAAGUUGUCCACCCUGCCUGCCUCACCAGAGGUCUGCAGGAUGAGUUCAGCCUCUGGAACCCAGCCCGAACCCAGGGUAGCACCAGCAGAGAAGUCACAGGAAGGAGCCUGAGCGGGGCGUAGAGACCCUGGUGUAGGCAGGAAGGCAUCUGAGCCCAAUGGGAAACAGCUAUUGCACAGAAUUCCACAGGAAGGCUGUCACCCUGUCCCCUCCCCCAGGGAUGGGCAUUUUUGUUGUACAGUCUUUGGUGACUACGAGAAGCAACAUUGCAUUGAAUUGCCACUGUGUCCCCAGCCAGGGCGUGGGCUCCUCACCUGGAUCCAGCGGUCGCCUCGGUUGAUGUACUGGAAGCAGACCUUCAGCUCACAGUUGGUUUUUUCCACCAGGUUCUUCACUUCUUUCAGGAACAGUGACCCUAUGAGAAAGUGAGACACAGAGGCCAAGUGCUCAAGGUCACACCCAUGGUAAGUGAUGGAGCCUGGAACUGAGCUCAGAUCCACGUGACCCUGAAGCCCCCAGCUGCCUCUCUGGGCCGCGGCCACCACUUACCAGCACACGAAC
Molecule: long non-coding RNA, 616 nt
Organism: Otolemur garnettii (small-eared galago)
Lineage: Eukaryota; Metazoa; Chordata; Mammalia; Primates; Galagidae
Exons: 4
Source: RefSeq, a predicted model, not a curated record